This 15188-nucleotide long non-coding RNA is filed under the name Xyrichtys novacula (pearly razorfish). Lineage: Eukaryota; Metazoa; Chordata; Actinopteri; Labriformes; Labridae. The record is from RNAcentral.
GUCAGGAUCUGAGUUAGUUCCAGUUUUUAGGAGAAAUCUUGAAUGUAAACUCUACCCCUCCCAACCAGUUUUCCCCUCAGCUCCUCCUCUCCCCUCAAGCCCCGCCCACAAACAGACGCUCCUGCUCGCUCGUAUCGUUCCAAUUAAAUUCAGAUAUAAUGCAGAUAAAUACUUCAGAUCAUUACAAAUGGGGCCCAGUCAAGGUGAAAGUCAAAAGCAUUGGUGCUACUGUAGAUGCCAACAGACUACCAGCAAACACAAUGUUUGCAGGACUUCUACAACGAGGAUAAAGUGACAUAGUCCAGGACCCGAGGUCAACGGUUUAGCGAUGGCGCUACAACACGCUACAGCAGGUCCGUUUGACAAGAAACACUUCUGUUACAGACACUUGUCUUACUUUGUUAAAGCGGUUUACCUGUCCAGCAGAAAGGUUACAGGGUCACCAAGAUCCCCAAGCGUCCCCCAUGGUUUAUGUUGACCCGGCUUUUUAGCUCUUGUCCGGUCUACCUCCGUUUUAAGCGCCCGUUAUUCCUCCAGAGUCUCCGGUAUUUACUUUGUUUUCUUGCUUGUGUCGGCAGUCGUGGCCAAAGGAGGAUUCAGACAAUUUUCCGAACUUUCUGGUUGGUUUCUACUGUCCGAUAUUGUAGCACGCUAACUUUGUUUGGGCUCCUGAACGACACGGGGGAGCAGCGUCUGCCUCACAACCAAUCAGGUUAGAGGAGGUGGAGAACGGCUUUGUUUACAGUCAGAAAGAGCGGACCGCUCAAAAAUGUUCAAAUGUUGACGACACAGACAUAAGAGAACACAGAGAUAUCAAUAUAUUACCAAAUGUCAUCAAUAACUAAUAACUAUUGACUGAUGUUAAAAUCUUUUUUUGUAAAUACACCACAAAUAAAGAUGCUUCUUUAACGAAAUGUCCAUGGACAGCCUCCAUGGAUUGGACUUGGUGGUCUAGCACAUCCACAGAUGCUGGAUUUGUUCACGGUAUUUACACACCGCAAGGUCAAAUAUGUGUCAGCCAUAUUUCUCAGACACCAGAUCACGCUCUCUUCAGGCUCCUCCGGGUCAACAGUCGAAGUCUACUUCCUCUAAAACUUCCUUCUGAGUGCAUCUGAAUUUCCCUUUUUACCUUUUCCUUGAAUUUCUUGGAUAUCCACACUGCUAAUGCAGAAGGAAGCAGAUGUUGGAGACAUCAUUCACCGCAGACUCCAUUUACAGCCAUUCGGGCUAAAAGAUGUCCCUCUCUUGCUCUUUAGGCCUCUGUUCUAGCUCACCUAGAAGCCAUUAGUGACCUGAGGGACCCAUGUGGAGCUGAUGGACCUUCGCUUACGCUCGGAGGACCCGCGUGUACGUGGAGAACGCUGCCGUUCGAUCAAUAAAAGGACGGUGAGGCGGUUCAGCUCAGGCAACACAAUGAGUAUCAGUUGUUUCCUCCGUCUGAGCCCUGAGCUGCAUUUUCCUGCGGCGAACCCUCCUCUUCAGCCGCCUACCCGCCGCAGAUAAUGAUAAAGGCCGUGAAUUGAAGCCAUAAAUUACCUCCUAAUGUUGAAGAGUGUGAUGAUUAAUCACUCCACAAAGUCUCCACUGAGGAGACACAAAGAUGCGUCUCCUCAGUGCCAAACAGCUCCUCUGUGUUGGCUGCCGAUGAUUUACAGCUCGCCCGGGCGGUUCAGCGUUCGGCUCGGCUGUCGGAGGCUGAAUCAGAAAAGCGUUUGGAGAUGCCAGGUUGACAAAGAGCACAAGACAAAGUCUGCGGCACCUGUGAAAAGCUGCAUUAUGGACACGUUUCGCUGAUGAUGACGCGCUCUCUCCCGCUUCUGUCAGAGGCAAUAAUGGCCAUCCGGUCAGAGACGCGCUCCAUAAAUCAAACAGACUGCCGGUUUGUUUACCCGCCGGGGUUGGAGAGAGGUCUGAAACAGCAGUAUCUGUCCCCGCCAGCUGUUCCAAGCCCUCUCUGUCUCUCGCAGCCUCUGCUAAUCUCAGCUUUCCAACUUUCUUUAAUUCUGCCUCUGCUUUGUCCUCCUCAUAAAGACUUUUUGGAAACUUUACCUCGCUGCUCUGCCUCUGGAAAUUUCCCUGCACCCUGUCUGCUAUCUGCUGCCAGAGUCCUGACUCGGUGUGCUCUCCUUAAUUCGCUCUUUUUUCUGCUCCUCCCGGAAGAGCUGAGAGGAAACUGUUGGUUUAACAAACCAGGGGGUUGUGGGUAAACAGGUACCUCCUUGACUUGCCUGUGUGUGUCCAGUGUAAACAGCACAGUCGGCACGAGAGGAAGCCUUCGCUCACACAGCGAGCUCACCGGGCGAUCACAGGCUGUUUGUGUUUGUCUGAAAAUGACUGAAAAGGUUUUUUUUUUCUCUGUUUGGAUUCCUGCUCCGGUCCUUAAACACUCGAACUCAGAUCUAAACCAGAUACUUUUAAAGGCGCCUGUCUGUUUUUUAUGGAGUCCAGAACAGGUUUGAGAGUUUUGUACAUUUUUUCAUUCCAAUAAUCAGAAUUUAAUCAACCAAAAAUAAGAGAAACUUUGUCAUUUUUUGGUCAUCCUGGAGGAUUUCUCAACCUUGUGUUGUCUAUGAGGGGCAUUUACGAUCCAUGUAUUAUCCGUCCAUUUAAUUAUUCCGUUCAAUCUAGUAACAAAAGAUGAAAAAUGAGUCAAUAUUUUGUUUAUUUGUUUUUCUAUAUAACCAAAAAUAAAAUAUUAGUGUUUGUUUUUGUAUUUUCAGCUCAAAACAGAAUAUGUAACAGAAAAGGAAACGAAAACAAAAUAAACCUUAUUUACGAUUAUUGAUUUUAAGUGCGCCUGUUUUGAGCAUACGUGCAUGGAGGCUACACUGGCCUUCCCAUGAUCCUCAGCGACAGUUACCAUGGCGAAAGAUGCGACAGAGCGGUUUGAUUGCCAAAACCUUCCGUUGUAACAGAGCUCUGGUUGUAAUUUUUUCGACAGUCAUAUCUUCCUCCUUCAGCGUCACCCUCCUGGCGGCUUUGAAUAAUACGUAGGAUGAUGCGUCCGUCUCCAUGACAACAGGUUAGCCUUUCUCGACCGCUCUGGUCUGGAGUUUUUGGUCCAUGUUGUUGGUGACUUUGUUGCGAACAGUAGAAAGGCACUGUGGGAAAUGAGGACAUCAAUAACCCGAAAACAAAAAGUAGAUUUAUUAUUUUGUUUUCAUUUCCUUCUCUGUUAUAUAUUCUGUUUUGAGCUGAAAAUACGAAAACAAACACUGAUCUUUUAUUUUUUGGUUAUAUAGAAAAACAAAUUAACAAACUAUUGACUUGUUUUUUCUUUUACUUGAUUGAAUGGAAUAACUGAAUGAACGGAUAAUACAAGGACUAUUUACCAUUUCUGUUUAACAGAUUUGUUGUUUAUUUCAACGCUGGCCUGGGCUAGGAUCACUUUUAAAGUUCUCAAUAUAUGUUGAAAAUAUGAGAUAAUAACAGAUUUUACAGUUACAGUUAUACAGUAAUGUGCCGUGAGCAACAAUUGGACAAAAACUGUAAACAACAGGCGAUGGUCGGUGUUCUUGGCGGCCAACGGAUUUUCCUUUUCAAACGAAAAAAACGACCAGUAGAGAUUCAGGAAACAGAAAACAAACCGUUUUUCAUUUUGAUCAGUUUUCGACUUUACGUGAUUUGACUUUAAACGGAAAUCGAAGAUCGAAAUACGUGUGUGGAAAUCUUGUGUUUCAAGUUUCAUUCACUUUUUUGUUGUGACCCGGAAGUCUUGUUAGCAUAGCAGCGCCCUCAGAAAUAAGGUGUGAGGAGGAAUAAGAACUAACCCAACAAUAGGAAAACGCCCGUUAUUAAAAAACUGUCACCGUGAUUGAAAAUCUAUUAACUUAAUAAUUUUGGUAAAAAGGUUUGUUUUCCGUUUUCCAAUUCCCUUCUGGUCGUCUCCUGAUUUUGUUUUUUCAUUUGAAAACAAGAAUCUGUUGGCCGCAAAAAGUCUCUCAUACGACACAAACAUGUCGAAUGAUGGGCAGGUAACAUUGUCAACGAUAAAUAAGGGACUUAAAAUCACAAUUUUUACAGGCAAGAAAUUCAACACAACAGCGGUGUUUUGCUUACUUGUUAAACUGGCUUAUCUUGUUUUGUGCACCUGCAGUAAGUCGUCAUGAGAUCAGAUAAUUACGGCCAAACAAAAAUCACGAUGACAACAUGAUCGCUAACAUUUACUCAAACCAACACAAUUGGUUUUUUGGAGGUUAAAGAGGACGAACAGGUCAGAGUUAAAUCCUCCCAUCUGUCAACCAGUUAGUAACCUGAUGUUAGAAAACACUUAGUUUAACAUUUUCCAUUUCUUAAAUUAUAGUUUUGUCAGAACUGUUUUACUCUGGGGGCAAAAACAAGUCCUUUUUGAAGCCCUUAAUAAAUCUGUCAUGAAGUCUUUGAUUCUAAAGACGAGAACCAAGUUGUUCCCAUCAUUUAUUUACCGAGCCGUUUGCAAAACCAAAGAUAUUCGACCAGAAUUAGCCUAAUUAUUCUGCGUCGCGGUACGUACAGUUCCAUAAUUAUACACAAAAAGCAUCAGCACAGCAAUUAUCAGCGGGUACACGGUGUUUCUUUAAACAUCAGCUGAUAACUCGGUGUCCUGGUGCGGCUGUCACAAUAAAAUGACCCGAAGAAAACCUCGGGGCACAAACUUUAGUCUGACUCACCGCUUCUAUUACUUUUAUGUUGCUCAUAUUAAAAUGUAGAGUCGUGAAAAAAAUAAACAUCCGGGUAUCACAUCAUACCUGCUCCUGUUUUGACCCCACUGCUUAUAAGAGUGUGUUUUUUUUCUCUACGUUACAUAAACUCAGAUCAGAUUCACAGCUUCCAAUGUUCUGUACGGACAGUUGGAGGACUUUGGAUCAGUUAGAUCACCAGGAUUGUGGCCAGUUGGUCGUUGUUUUCUCCAGAAAAUCAAAAACAUUUUUCUCCUUCAUCACCGACCGAGCAUUUCUCUCUGAUUUCUCAGACUUUUUUGUAACAGAGAGGUUUAUGUUUGUUGGAGUUACGCAGGUCGAACAUUUCAGACGUUAAAUGAUAAGAAAUUUUAGAAGUAGUGUGUGCAGAAAAAUCAAACAUUAAAGCAGCAGAAGAAAAUGUUUGAACCUGUUUUCCUACAUGCCAGUUCUGACUGAGUUCAGCAGAGUCAGCAACAUGCUGUUUCUGUGCAGCUGUGAAGCUCUUUCCAAAACCAGGCCUGAUACUAAGUCCAUUUUUGGGUUUGGUGGUCUGGCUGGUGGUUCAUCAACAGAACAUAUAGGGUCACAGACAUAGUACUAGACACCAAACAUCUUUUUAACUUUGACUCAUUUCUUUAGCAAAGAGACUAAACACAACUCACCUACUCUCUUCCAGCAGCCGCUGGUUUGUAGCGAGACCUCAGGCCAGUCCAUUACAGACUACAGCGGGGUGACGCAGCUCAAGGAAGAACAUUUAUGAUCAUUUCUUCAUGGAAAUACAAUCAGACCGAGACGCUAAGACAGAAGAACUACCGCGUCUGCAGAGCAAAAUGAUUAAUAUGGUGAUUAUUACUUCAAGGAAAUGAUAAAGAAAUUAUCAUAAAUGUUCUUUCUUGAGCUGCGGCACCCCGCUGUAGUCCGUUGAUGAAGUUAGGUGCUGUUCUGAGCAUUAUUUGUGGCUAUAGAGUGGCGUUUUGGUUGAGCGUGUGACUCUUUGUAUUUCUAUCCUGUGGUCGUUACUAAAGUUGGUAAAACUAGAGAAGCAAGCGGUCGACAACAUCUCUGGAGGGGGGGUCUAACUCAGUGUUACGGUGUGUUUGACCCUAAAUCAAUUUUACGCCGGAAUAUCCCUUUAAAUGAUAAGAAAUUUCAGAAGUAGUGUGUGUGGAAAAAUCAAAAAUGAAAACAGCAGAAGAAAAUGUUUGAACCUGUUUUCCUACAUGCCAGUUCUGACUGAUUUCAGCAAAGUCAUCAAUGUUCUGUUUCUGUGCAGCCGUGGAGAUCUUUCCAAAACCAGACCUGAUACUAAGUCCGUUUCUGGAGGUGGUGGUCUGACGGAUUCAAGAGCAUCCAAACUCUUCAGUUCCUAUUCAAAACCAAUUCUUAUCAAGGUCAGUAAUGUCAUCAUGUACGAUUUCUGGUGCAGCCGUGUCGCCUUUUUUAGUGCAACAUGUUUACGACCGUAUGGAAUUUGCAGUCCUGCUAUCAGACAUCGGUCAGGGAGCUCCGCCCCCGUCUGCUGAUCACUUUGAAUUAUCAAUCGAACCCUUUGACAGUACGUCACAGUUUAUUCAGUCGCUCCAGCUUGUGUGUGUGAGUCGUGGCUGCAGCUCUGGUGCUAAUCUUCUAAGUUUCAGUGUUUUUGACUUAUUUUCUGCGUUUGAGGAAAAUCAGCCAAAGAUUUACUUUCGAAACCGUUCACAGAGAUGCUCAGAGGUGACGCUGCGCUAACCUUUCACUGAGCGCUAACAAAGGAAAAGCUUUUACCCGUUUUAUGAGCGGGACUGUGUGUCUUAAUUGACACCUCCUGAGCCCAUUGUUGAACCUCUUCAUAUUCUCGGUUGGAAAACAUCGUCUCAGGCCGAGACGGAGACAAAGAGAUUCAUUUUCAAAUGAAUCCACAGUAAUUCAAGCCCAAUGAGAUUCCUUCAACGUUGUCUCCACUCGGCUGCUCGUCUCCUCCCCUCCAGAUGAAGCUGCAGAGCCUGGCAGCCCAACACAAGCUGCAAUUGAUUCAAAAUCCUCAGCGGCAAAACAGACAAAGGGGUCAUCUAUUAUCCUCGCCGUCCUCGCCCCGUGUCCCCCUCUCCCCUCUUCGCCUCUCCUCAACCCAUCUUUGGCGGUCACCCGUUAAAAAGAAACUCUGGGGACGCCGUAGAGCUCUCUGCACCGCCGGCCUCGCUCCACUUCUCCGAGGCCGGGGGCCGGGGCUAAUUGGCGGAUCCACCAGGGAGUCCUCCAACCGCCAAGCCAGCCAGCCAGGGGGCCCAUUUGCAAGCAUGUGAUCUCAGCUGAAUAGGGGCGAGAGCCAGAGACGAAGGAGGAGGAGGAGGUCGGGGGAGGCUGGUGGGUCUAGAGGACAUGGGAGAAGUGAUUCCCAUGGGGUGUGUGGGUGGAAGAAACGAGAGGGGGAAACUUCUGAAGCGCUCUCCGCGCUGAGAAACCGCUCUCUCUCAGUUUUCUCUGCAGCGAAUUUAAAGAUAUUUUUAAAAGAAGAAUAAACAACAUUAUCUCUAAACGUGCUCCAAAACCCUCGAGUGGCCAAGUUUCUGCCGAGAGGAGCGAAUGUAAAGCACGGCGGUGAUGCAUUCACAGCACAGGAGCCGUGGUCGGAGAGCAGAGACGCAGACAGAGAGGGUUUUGUGGGUAAUUGACAGGCAGAGCUCCUUUACCAGCAGCUCUUUGUGUUUAUCAGCCCGGCCGAUCGAUGGUCAUCUUAACCCCGGGAGAGCGAGGGCCAGGAUGGAUGAAAAGUAAAGACUCCUCUUUUGUUGUGCGGGCAGCUCUGUCCAGCGCCAUCGGCAAAGCUCCCAGAAGGCCCUGCUCAGAAAAAUAUGAAAGAUUGGAGCCGUGUCAAAAAAAAAAAAAAGCUCGAAUAAAUCUUUCUAUAUUUCUUAUCCCCAAUGCACCCCAAAAUGCUUUCAAAUAUUUUGGUUGGGCUCUCACUUUGAGCCUCUCUUCAGUGACCCAUUUGGGUCCGGAGGGAGCAGCGAGCAGCGAGGAGCUGGAGGAGUGAAGCCGCAGAGUGACACAGUCGGAUUUUGAUCAUGCAAGCCAAUGCAAACUCGAAAACCACAGUAGCGCUCAGCUGCUGCUCGCUGCUCUGUUCUUUAUGUUGAAACUGGAUUUUUUAUUCCUGCCUGACAGGGUUAGCUUUCGUAACAUCAUGCAACCGCUCAAACUUUUCUGUGUCUGAGAGAAGUUUGUAACAUUUGGGGGGAAUUUUCUUAUUUACUGCGUUCAGAUGAGAAAAUCAAUAUCCUCUUUAUCUCCAUCAGCCAUUCGUCUUCUGCAGUGACCAACAUUUGCAGGCGUGCUAAGCCAACAUCUGACAUCUGGCUUUGGAUAUAAAAAUGAGAGCGCUAUCAUCUUUAGAUAAUGUUUGCAUGCCAACCCGGUAAUCCUAGAUUGUGAAAAUGAAGCACAUUUGAAAAAUUGGAUCGUCUUUUUUCUGUCUAGACUCUUAAAUGCCAGUAUUUUGGUUCCAGUAAUCUGGGAAGCCAGCCGUCGCUCUCAACCACAGCCCCCGUGGGAAAGAGACGAUGAAGUGACCGCCCGGGAGGUGACUCAGAAGUAGAGUCACUAUUUAGAUGCUGAAAGACGGUUUAAUUCCUCAUUUUAUCGUGUAAAAGGUUUUAUUUUAAGUCUCUGCUCUCUACCCAGGAGUCUUUGCUGCUGCUCUACCUGCGUUAACUUUUCAUAGAAGGUGUGAUCUCUCUGCCUCAGAACCGUACGGCCAAAUACGACGUGUUGCAUUCAGACAAUAAUUCUAUUUAAAGGUAGGGUAGGGAGGAUUAACGAAAUCCUGUCUACCCUACCUGCCUGGUCAAACACUCUCGUCUCCUGGUCCCAGAAGCUCAGAUCUGAACUGAAUCCUGAACGUUCAGCUGUGUGUCACUUCAGGAGAUCAAUCUCAGGCUCCUCCCGCUAAAUGAUUCGGUGAACGAAUCUUUUGAACGAAUCUUUUUAGUAAACUGAUUCUAGUGAUUCAGUACAUCUAAAAGAACUGCCGUGCCCAUCACUACUUUAUUCAUUCUUUCGCACUAUAACUUCUCCAGCUUUUAUUUUGGUACUUCCUGUUACCAGCAUUCUGAGUUUGCAUAUUCGCUAAAUAUUUAGUUUCACCCGAAACGUUUAAGAAUUUAAUAAUUAGCAUUUAGGUGCAACGUUUAAUAUUUAUAAAUGUGCUCCAAAGUGACUUUCAAAAAUUUACUUCACUUUUUAAAAACGGUUUGAUGCAAAAUGUGACAAAAUGUCGCCGUUAUUGUAAAAAAUGAGCAGCUUUAUAAACGGCACCACAUAGUAAUUGAUAAAUUAUUAACGUUUAAAACAGACAGUUUUCUUUCUGUUAAUCAAAUCACCUGAAGAAGGACUCAUCAGGAGUGUAGGAGUACUGAGUCUGUGUCUGUUUGACCUGAUGGUUGUGAUCCAGUCUCAGUAUUUAAUUCAGUUUCAUCUCAAACUUUAGAUGUUUCUGCCCCACACACACAGAGUCCUCAUCAUUGCAGUUUCUCGUUUACUUCUCCUGUCUCUCUGCAUCCGUCCUUCUGAGGAUAAAACUCCCAGUAAUGAACUUGUAAAGAUCAUGUCAGUCUCAUGUCACUCUGGUCCUAAAACCCUGACCCCGAUCCAUCUAAACCCCGUCUCUGCAGCUUCACUCGUCUCUCAGUGAAUUUGAUGGACAGAGGAAACCGGUCUCCUGAGAGAAAACAGCUCGGCCUGUCAGUUCUAUCUAAAACACUUGGGAACAAACAGCUCUUCAUAUCUCCUCCUUUUAUUUCCCUCUCUUCCUGUUGCUCUUUUAUUCCUCUGUAAACUUCUUCAACACUUCGUCACAGCCUCUCUUCUUUUAUCCGGUCUGAUCUUCAGUAAAAGACUUCGCAGUCGCUGUUGUGACUUUAGUGGAGCACCAAUAAAGUUUGUAACGUCUGCCUGUGUUCAGAGAGAAAAAAGCAGCAGCUCCUCGUUUUUGUUUUAUAUAAUCAACCCAUUUAGACUCUGCAGAAACCUCACUAACGUUUAAUGGACUUCUUCAUCACAGCAUAAACAGCUUUACAAGGAGGAACAUUAACGGGAUUGUUUUGUAUGUCAGCUGUAGUUUUAGUGGGACUAGGCCUGGAAAAUGUGGGGUUUAUAAGUCCAGGUCCCAGUACAGACCAAGUUUGCGACCUGGACUGGUAGUUUUACAGGAUCCAGCUCACAUCCAGUAGAGACCACACAGUAGAUGGAGGAUAACUGAGGUUUUACAGGCUUUUAGUUGAUGUAACUCGACUGUGAUAAUAAAAAACAGCUGUUGACAGACGAGCACCAAUCUCUAUAUCACGGUUUUAUCGUGCUGCAUCUUGAAAGGAGAGUAAAGGCUCAUUUCUGCUCGCCAUACCUAUUUCAAACGAUGGCUCCGUCGCUGCUCACAUACUUCCAUGCGUCCUUUACGUUGCCAUGGAUGUUAACCAUUACAUCCACCAGGGGGCAGGCUGGAGUCGAAAGUUUCUGACAACAACAACAAACAAAAAUGAAACACGGCGACUGUGGAGGAGCGAGUGAUAAUGUUUGUUUUUCGUAGGACAGAGCCAGCCCAAGGCAUAAGCGAACUAAGCGCCCACUUAGGGCCCUGCAGCCAGUAGGGGGCCCCCAAGAGCAAUCCAAAAUGAAUAAAUGUAAAUAUUUUUUAUUUUUUGCAUGUAUGAGUGAUGCUUUCUGUCUGAUCAAAUAUAUUAUUAUAAAAAUAAACUAAAGUGAAAAUAUUUCAGUGCUGCUGCUGCUGCUAUCUAUGAUUCUUACUGCCGAUAUGUUAAAGCUCCGCUACCGUAAUGUUCCUCCUGCUGUGAAAUGUGCACUGAGCAUCCAAAGAGCAGGUAGAUGUGGUGCAAAAAUAUGUCGCAAAAAAGGAGAUAUCCUUCAGGAGCCGAGAAAAGACAGAGGAAGAAGAGAAAAAACUCCAAGAUGUAGGUAUGUUUGCAUGUCAGGGAAUGUUAAUCAAAGAGAUUUGUGAAGGUGUGUGAAUGAUCAACAAUCAAUAUUAUUGGCAGAAAUAGAGGGCCCCAAAAUCACAUUUGGCCAGCCACAGUGAGGCUUGGGCCGGCUCUGUCGUAGGAGACAGAAACGGAGGCAGCGUUGGAGGAGGCGGUGGUCGGUCAGGACACUAAAUGUCUCGCAGUUAGAGGACGGAGGAUUCUUUUUCUCUAGUCGUACCGCUGAGAGAAACUAACGACGAUCCUCAAAAAGCCCCGCCAUUGUCUUCUGCGUUUCUCUCUAGAGAUGUGUAUCAGGUAUUGACAGCAGCAACACUGCCCCCAUGGUUUCUGGUGGUACUGCUCCAUCUGGCCCGUAUCAGUAAACUUCAAGGAUAUGUGCAAAAAUACGGAUGAAAAAAACGUGAAGCACGGACGGAGAGUUUGGUUCGUAUCCAGAUCGUUUUGUAACGUUGAGAAUAAAUGAGCCUUUAGAAAAUUUAGAUAUCAUCCCAGCUUUGUUUUCAAAAUGUUAAAAUCCAAAAAUCUGUCGUCAUGGCUGCCUCUCAAGGUUUUGAAACUCUCUCUUUAUUAAUGUAACAUAUAAUAUAAAAAUUCUUUCUCUGCUUGUUCUCCCCUUUAACUGUUUUGUGUUUCACUUCAUUAAACAAAAAAAAAAUAGUUAUUUUUUUACAGAAAACACAUCCUUCUUUAAGCCGUACUCUUAAAUGAAAGUCCCUGUGAUGGAGUCUGGUUCUCCGACUGUCUGUCUGCAUGGUUCCUCUCUGUAAUGUGUUCAGAGACUUAGUAAACCAAACUCUGAUGUUGUUUUACUUUGACUGGGUCCAUAAAGGAUGAGUCUUUGUGGAAAUAUUGCAGGAGGUAAAGAUUUAUUUUUCAUUUUAUUUUUACUCUGACAUGAGUUAUAAAAUUCAGCCGCUGCUUCCUCUGAGCAGAACGAGAAAAAAAAGGCGUUUAAGUCUCCAGAUCCUCGGUGAAAGUCCGAUUCAUCCUCGCCCUCGUCCCUGCCAGCUCCUGCAGUAAUUUACUCCAGGUCAGGUCGAGUCUGUGACCUGUUACCGGUCGACUUCAGACAGGGUGAGCUGAAGUUUCUGCUGCAGGGUGUUGGGGGUUAACACUUCUACUCCACUACAUCUCCUCGACUGACUGCACGCCGGCCUUUUGUCCUCUUCCUGUCCGCUGACAGGAAGUGCUGGUCAGGGGCUGGUACCUGCCAGACACUGUGACACGUUCACAAAGCGAGCAGAUUUCAGGAGAUUCGCCAAAAAGAAAGAGCGUGUCGUUGAAAAAAAAAAGGGGCUUUUACUCUGAAAGGCGGCGGUUGUCCGGCGGCUAUCAGCAGCUCUUUGUUGUCGGAGAAAAGCCGGCAGGUUCCGACACUUUAUCUGAUGGACAGACGCACCAGCUGACUGUGGACGCCGCCUCCGUCUGGGGUCAGAUUAAUCGCUGGGGCAGGGCCAACCCAGCCACCACUGUCUGAUUUUAACAACAGAAGCUGUUUGAAUGUCAUCUUAGUCAUGAAUGAAGCUCGCCACAGAGCAGCGCCGACCAGGAGAGCGUGCCGAUAACCCCGCAAACACGACUGUGAAAGGAGGAGCACGGGCUGCAGGAGUCGUAUUAAAGAUAAUGUAGUUCAGGAAUAAUGAAGGAAAAUAUUAACAAAAAAGAAAAAAUAAUAACCAGAAUGUCAAAACUGCUCCUGAGGUACAACAGUAGAUCGUUUAACCAAACUGUGUCUGCAGGUUCUGACUGCUUUGGACCGGGUUUAUUUAAACUCAUAUCCAAGAAUCAACCAGACUCUGGGCUCUAUUUUCGUGCCUCGCCAGAGACGUGCCACAAGCGCAGCGUCAGUCAGAUCCGCCGCGCUGACAAGGCGUUCCCAAGCACAUUUUGGUAUUUUGGUGAGCCGCGCAGCCCGGUGUAAGUAUCCCCCCUCCCUAACUCAGCUCCUCCCAGCAGGAUAAGUCGUAGACGGGGAGGAGAGAGGGCGUGGAGUGGGUUUAACACAGCCGAGAACUGUUUUCACCAAUCACAUAAGCUCCUCUCCUUGCCUUUAAAUCCGCCACCGGCGAGGCGUAUUACUAUUUUCAUGAAGUAGUCAAAGAGAUCAAGAGAUGUCUUAAGACAGCAAUGCCACAAGAUGGCGACAGAGGGCAGCUGCUCAACAAGUGUCCUCCACACUCUCUCAUAUGAGCACAGAUGGAUUUGGUGUGCGUAAUGUUGGACCCACUGGUAAGACAAACACCCUUUUCCACAAAUAAAGACACUCACAUAAAGUUGCUCAUAUUCAAACCUCACGUGACAAAGGUGGGUUGAGCGCACUGAUCACAACAUAAACUCCAAAAAUGGCAUUAAAAUUGGAACCAUCUGCGCCCUCCGCCGCCUCACCGGCACGCAAUAGAGCCCUCUGUGUUUAUACCCUGUGUUAAUAGUAACACACCAGCUGAACCUGUCUAAAGAUAACAGGAGCAAAAGCCCUGAUUGGUUAGAUUCAUGUUACGCCAAAAACACACCGAUGAAUGAUUGAAGGACAUAAUCCGACUUCUCUGUGCCUGUCGUCUCCGAACUGACCAAAAUGCUGUCGGACACUUAAAAUGUUAAAUUGAUAAAACUGUUGUUUGUACUUUACUGAACUUUUGUGUGACCAGAGACCGACAUUCGUGAAAAUAUUUGACACUUUUUACUUGGAAGAAAAACUCCAGUUGGCUCAGACCGAUCUUUAAGACCACGAAACCAACGAUCGAGGCGGUGAGAGUCCAUUUGAGGAAAGUCCAAGCAUAUUUAGCAGAUGACUUUAGAUGAAAAACUGGUAAAUGUUCCCAAGGUUGUUGAUGGUUAACUUUGGAGAAAUCAGGGUUUCAUUUGAGUAGAUCUUCCUGUAGCAUCGUCUGUUUGACGGCCGCGUAAAAAAACAACCUCAGAGUGUUGGAAAAUGUUCACCAACACAACAGUUUUAGUGCUAAAAUUUAAAAAUACAACUGUGUGGUUUUUAAGGGACAAACCGACAAUGGCCUCUUGGACUAGAUGCUGAUUUCCCUCAUUGGAUUCACACUUUGGCGCCCUCCUUUUUGGGUUUUUCCCUGAUAGACUCACAACAUCUCCAGAAGGUUGACUCUUUAGAUGCCAUCAACUCCUCAAAGGCCCAGGUUGGGUCUUUCCUCUCGAUCCAGUGACUCCCUUUUUCACGAGUCUUGGAGAGGUCUUUGACUGCCUGCCGGUGGACCUUCCCCUCGAUCUUCCAUCCGUCGAAAUAUCCCAGAUCUUGAGGUGUCUACUUCCACCGGGCGUACCUUCACUUUCCAGUCUUGUUGUCCUCAAAUUAAAUAUCCGAUCAAUCUUUGUUGACACACUCAGGUAAAUCAUUUUCCUGGGAAACACCCCCCUCAACAACAUCUGUCCUUUUAUUUUUAACUAGCAGCAGACAGGAUAUUUCAGGCAAAGCAACACCUCUCAUCCGUUUAAAGCUGCUCCUCUCCCUCUCGUUGGGGCGUCUUCCCUCUGAGGUCGGCGCAUUAAAAAUUGAAAGCGUUCUUUGUGUUGAUGCAAAAGGGAGAGAAAACAGCGACUGUGCUCCUUUGAGUGCUACUCCUGCGCUCUUAAAAAGCCGACAUCAAUGAGAGGCGGGGAGGACGGGGGGAGAAAAAAGAGAGAAAGAAGGAGUGGAAGAAAAAAAGGGACAUGAAGAAGUUGUUGUUGCUCUGUUUGUUUUUAAUGUUGGGAUUUAAAAAAAAGCUGUGGUUGUGGUAAGACGAGCACAUGCAGUACAUGAUGUUAGAUCCUUCUCCCCGAGGAGUCUCACACACACACUCACACGCACAAACACACACACACACGCACACACACACACACACACACACACACACACACGCACGCACACACACACACACAUACAUGCACACACACACACACACACACACACACACACACACACACACGCACGCACACACACAUAUAUUAAAAAAAGACAUCACAGCUGGUGCAGACAAACCCAACAAACAGCAGCCCCUCACUCACUCACUCACUGAUGCAUGUGCAGCAGCUACAGCAAACAGGCGUUACCGACCAUCCCUGAGGAAACGCACUCUUUUAUUCUAACGCAUCAUGCUGCAGCAGCCAAUCAGCAUUAAGAUUCAUUUAUCAAAAACUGAGGGAGGUAAAGAGAAAGAUAAAGAGAUAAAUAGACGCUGGCUCGGAGGAAAUCAUGGCGUUUAAGUACCCCUUCUCUUUACUUAUGUAAAUUUGCACUUAAAGGUGGGUUAGUCAGGAUCUGAGGAAGUUCCAGUUUUUAGGAGAAAUCUUGAAUGUAAACUCUACCCCUCCCAACCAGUUUUCCCCUCAGCUCCUCCUCUCCCCUCCCUCUCUGCUCCAGCAAGCCCCGCCCACAAACAGACGCUCCUGCUCGCUCGUAUCGUUCCAAUUAAAUUCAGAUAUAAUGCAGAUAAAUACUUCAGAUCAUUACAAAUGGGGCCCAGUCAAAGGUUACAGGGUCACCAGGAUCCCCAAGCGUCCCCCAUGGUUUAUGUUGACCCGGCUUUUUAGCUCUUGUCCGGUCUAC